Long non-coding RNA from Oreochromis niloticus (Nile tilapia), 11778 nucleotides. The record is from Ensembl. NCBI's taxonomy places the organism in Eukaryota, Metazoa, Chordata, Actinopteri, Cichliformes, Cichlidae.
AUGCAGCUUAAAUUACAUUUUCUUCGCCCUCAUUUCAUAUUCAACAACACGUCAUGGAGGCCGCAGUCCUGUCAGGAGUGUACCUGCUAUGGUGAUGUGGCCAUCUGUGGGCCCACCCACUGUCCCAACCCCCACUGUGACCUGCAGAGGGGCGAGCAUUUGAGGAUCCCUGCCAACAAGUGCUGUCCAGAGUGCGCCUCCUCAUCCCAGGGCUCCUGCCAGUAUGAAGGAGUCAUCUAUGGACAUGACAGUCAGUGGAGUCCCUCGCCUUGUUCAGUGUGUACUUGCUCCGGAGGGAGCGUAUCCUGCACCACUCACCCCUGCCCGCAUCUCACCUGUCCCGGGGAUCAAAGCCUGUUCACCCCAGCCGGGGAGUGUUGCCCCAAGUGUGGCAGCAAUGGAGAGUCUUGCUCUUGGCAGGGGAUCGUUUACAGGGAUGGAGAGGAGUGGAAGCCCAGCCUCUGUUCCAGAUGUGUCUGCAGCAAUGGAGAGGUCCAGUGUUCAGUAGCAGAGUGUCAGCAAGUGGCCUGCAAACCGCACGAGAACUUGGUGAUCCAGCCAGGAGAGUGCUGUCCCCAGUGUGUGUCCAACCCUUGUCUGUCAGCUGGAAAACAGUACCAGCACGGUGAGCAGUGGCAGAAGAACACCUGCACCACGUGCGUGUGUGACCGGGGUCAAUCUAAAUGCCACACUAAAACCUGCCCACCCAUAACCUGCGACAAGGGUCAGACCAAAGUGAAGCGUGCCGGGCAGUGCUGUGAUGAAUGCGCUGCUGCUAAGGGAAGCUGCCAGUACCAGGGCGCAGUGCGUUACCAUGGAGACAUGUGGAACAGCACUGGCUGCGAGUUCUGUACCUGCAGCCGGGGUCAGGUCCUCUGUCAGAGGGCCGAGUGUGGACGUGUCGAAUGCCCGCAGGGAUCUGAGCUCGUUAACCUGCCAGGGAAAUGCUGCCCUGAGUGUUCCUCUGCGAAACCUUCCUGUGUGCACAAGGGAAAAUCCUACAAGGUACUUCUAUCACAAAACCUUGCUCGAUGGAGUGAUGGCAGUUGUCGUGAGUGUGAAUGCCACGAUGCCCAGGUGACUUGUUAUCUGAGAUCCUGCCGUACCUGCCCUCUGGGCACCCUGGCUGUCAUUCAGGACGGCCAAUGUUGCCCCGAGUGUCACCAAGCCCAGUGCCACACAGACUGCCUGUCGUGCUCGGGAACGCCUGAUCACUGUGACAGCUGCAGGGAGCCACAGGCCUUACUUCAUCUUGGCCGCUGCCUGUCUGUCUGUCCAGUGGGCUUCUACGCUGAAGGACGAGUAUGUGCAGCCUGCCAAUCAUCCUGUGCCACCUGUUCCAGCAGGUGGGAUUGUCAGUCCUGCGGCUCCAGGCUGCCCCUGCUGAACCCCGAUAGGAGUCAGUGCCUGGCUUCCUGUCCACCUGGUUCCUAUCAGCACGACCCAACACACUGUCGCUACUGUCACGAGUCGUGCUCGGAGUGCCGUGGGCCGAGUCAGCAGGAGUGCGUGUCGUGCUCAGACCCAGCCGCCUUGCUGAAAGACGGGGCGUGCGUCCUUGACUGUGGCACAGGUUUCUACAGUCAAGAAGGCGUCUGCCACGCCUGCCACAGCUCCUGCGCCUCCUGCUGGGGUCCCUCGGUAUCCCAGUGCACCUUGUGUCCAGGUGCACUCCUUCUCCACCAGGGACAGUGUGUGGAGGCCUGUGGGGAGGGACUGUAUGCUCAGGACUACACCUGCCACAGUGAGAGUCUAAAUACAUUAAUAAAGUGUCCUGUUAAUACAACUUCUCUUCCUUGUUCCCAGAACUGUCAUCCCUCCUGCCGUUCUUGUGUGGGACCCCUGGCCUCAGACUGCCUCCGCUGCCUCAAACCGGAGGAAGCUCUUCUUCCGCAAUCGAGUCACCUUCAGCACAGCGUCUGCACAGCUGGGUGUCCCACGCGCAGCUUCCUGGAUGACAUGCAGACAUGCAGAGAGUGUCAUCCCUCCUGUUGGCAGUGUGCUGGGCCAUCUGCAGACAACUGUACGUCCUGUCCCUCCCCGUCCAGCCUGUACGAGGGCCGCUGUGUCCCCACAUGCCCACAAGGCUUCUUUAUUCAGGACAACCAAUGCCAAGCGUGCCAUCCCUCCUGCCAGACCUGCUCCGGUCCCUCCCAGAGUGGCCACUGCAGGGCAAACUGCCAAGAGGGGCAUUUCCUUAAUGCUAUCUCUGGAGAGUGCCUCAAGUGCAGCUCGGACUGCCAGCGCUGCACAGCAGACCUCCAGACGGGCGUCGGCAGCAUUUGUCUGUGGUGCAAAGCGCCAAGAAUGUGGCUGCUGGGCGAUCACUGUGUCUCUCACUGUCCUCUGGGUCAUUAUGGCUGGCAUGGAGCCUGCAUCAGAUGCCAUCCAUCAUGCGAGGCCUGCAGUGGGGCUGGGCUGCUCUCUUGUACUUCCUGCCCUGCCAACAGCGUUCUCUUGCCAUCUGGACUUUGUGCCCCCAAAUGUCCCCUUGGAUACUAUAACAAUGGCCAAAGGAUCUGCCAGGUAUGUGACAGCCAGUGCCUGACGUGCGAUAUGCCCGGGGUUUGUACGUCCUGCCGUGACCCGGCCAAGGUGCUGCUGUUCGGAGAAUGCCAGUACGACAGCUGCGCCCAUCAGUACUACCUCAACACCACGACCCGCACCUGCAGAGAGUGUGACUGGAGCUGCAACGCCUGUAAAGGCCCCCUGAGGACUGACUGCCUGCAGUGCAUGGAGGGCUACGUGUUGCAGGGGGGAGUGUGCACGCAGGGGUGCUCCUUUGGCUCCUAUCGAGACGGAGACAGAUGCCUUGGCUGUGAUGAUCACUGCUUGGACUGUCAAGGUCCUGGACAGUGCCAGGAAUGCCAGCCUCCCUACGCCACGCUGCACGGCCAGUGUGUGCUCGAAUGUGGCAGAAACUACUUCCUGGAUGCAUCUUCCAAAGCUUGCACAUCUUGCUCGUCCGACUGCGUGCUCUGUGACGGGAUCGGACUCUGCAGAGCUUGUCGUAAUCAGACCUACCUCAUGGAAGGAUACUGCACUCCCGACUGUGGACAUGGAUAUUACGCAGACCAGAAGACCAGGACCUGUCACAUGAACGCCCACUCGCCUGCCCUCCAUGUCAACGGGUCCCUGCUGGUUCCCUUUGAUGGUUUUGCCCCGCUGCUCCCCACCCUGCUGCAGGUGAAAGACCCAGACAGUCCGUCUGAGCAGCUGAUCUUUCAGCUUGUUCAGAAGCCGAGUAACGGACGGCUGGUCCUGUUCAGAGGGGAGGAAGGUGAAGAGACGGGAGGCCGAGAAAUAAAGAAGGACGACACGUUCACGUGGGCAGAGCUGAGACACGGACAGGUCCGAUUCCGAUACCAGAAAGACAAAGACAGCGGUGAGUUCACCUUGCGUGUUGCUGAUCCCCAGCUGUUUUCCCAACCGAAAACAAUUCAAGUCCGAGCCGUGUCCAUGCAGGUAACCCCGAGAGUCGUGACCCUCUCCCCUCUUACCGUGGAGGGCCGUGGCAGCCUGGCAACCAUCACCAAGUCAGUCCUGCAGGUCGACGACCCUGACAACGCAGCCGAUGUCCUGGUCAUGGUACUUGAGCUGCCCCGCCAUGGCCGGCUGACCCGUCUCCACAGCGACCGCGCUCUCAGCCGAUUCAAGCUGGAGGAGCUGUCACGGGAACAGAUUCAAUACAUCCACGACGGUUCGGAGGGGGCAGAGGACGGGGCGGUGCUGCAGAUCAACGACGGCCACAGCUACAAGAAUAUUCUGCUCCGAGUCCAAAUACACCACAAGGUAGGAUGGAGAGAGGGGAAGGAGAAGGAUUUAUUGACCUGGGUGAAAGAGGGAGGCAUGGUGCGACUGGAUAAAAAGUACCUGCAGACAGAUUUCAAAGGAGUCAGCACUGAUAACAUUGUCUACAGCAUCCUCCCCUCAGAGGGGCAACCCAAAUAUGGUGAGGUGUUGCUGGUGUCCAUGCCGGCUGAUGGCCCCUCAGAGGGUUGGCUUCCCUCGCUAACAGACGACCGCAGCUUUACAGCAACGACUUCCUUCACGCAGCAAGACGUGAAUGACGGUGCAGUCUGGUACCGCCACUUUGGCACCGGCAGCAGCGGUGACUCCUUCCUGUUCCAGGUUUCCACAGAGGCAGAACCAGUCGUUCAGAGCGAUGCUCAGACCUUCACCAUAGGAGUCAUGCCUCAGAUCCCAGGAUUCCCACAGCUGGCCCCCGACUGCGACCUACAGAUCACGGCUCUGGAGGAUCAGGUGACAGAGAUAACGCCUUCAGCGCUGUCCUUCGUCGACUCUGAGACUCCCAGCGAGAAGCUCAUCUACAGUAUCACCAAACCACUACCAUCGGGACAAGGGACCAUCGAGCACCGUGACAGGCCGCACACACACGUGCAACAUUUCACUCAGGCUGAUGUGAAUAACGGCAAGAUCAUCUACAGACCGCCGCAGGCUCCGUCACACCUCCAGGAGCUCUACCAGUACUCCUUCACUGGCCUGCCGGAGUCGCUGAGCGUUUAUUUCACAGUGUCAGAUGGCGAGCACACCACGCCUGAGCUGGACUUUGCUGUCCUGCUGCUGACAAACCACCAGCAGCCGCCGGUGUUUCAGGUUCUGGACCCGCUGCUGGAGGUCAGCCUCGGAGGACAAGCUGCCAUCGGCGGUCAGCAGCUGGCUGUGAGCGACGUUGACACGGCUCCAGAUGACCUGGAGUUCGAGGUGGUAGAAGCUCCCGUCCAUGGAGAGCUGAUAAAGACUGACGGCAACACAAAAAUUCGCAUGACUAAUGGUGACACCUUCACUUUCAGCGACGUCACCCGCAAUGUCCUGCUCUACCGUCACUCCGGGCUCUCCACCCAAGAUGAUGCCAUCACCUUCUCAGUUAGCGACGGUAUCUCCAUGGCUGCCACGGUAGUGCAGGUGGUGGUUUUGGGCGCUGGAGGCAGCGGGCCACAGCAGGACCCCAUCGCCACUCUCUCGCUGGAAGUGGGCGAGAAAAGCAGCACUGUCAUCAGACGCUCACACCUGGCUUACACGGAUGACACAUCCCCAGAUGACCAGAUUCGAGUCCAGCUGGUGUCUGUGCCAAUGUACGGCAUCCUGACCAGGAGCCAGUCCCAGCAGGAGCACCAGGAGCUGAGGGAGUACUCCUCCUUCACAAUGGAGGACAUCAACAAGCACAGGAUCAGGUACAUCACUUCGAUAGAGACGGGAAGUCAGCCAGUGACUGAUAUCUUCCACUUUGUUGUUUACGAUGGAGACAACAAUCGCCUUGACAACCAGAUAUGCACCAUCACCAUCACCUCCACACCAAGACAGCCGCCGGUGGUCACUGUCCGAGGCAGCAUCAAGGUCGAGGAAGGUGGUCGUGUGCAGCUGUCUACCAAUGACAUCACAGUGUCAGAUGUGGACACGCCCCCGAAGGAGCUGCUGAUUUGGCUCAUCAGCCCUCCUAAAUAUGGUUUUAUUGAGAACACCAGGAGAGGCAGCUCCAUUGGCGGCUCACAUGUCGUCACCCCUGAUGUGCCGUUCUCUGUGGAGGACCUUACAUCCGGCCAUAUCUCUUACGUCCAGGAGAGCCAGCUUAAACCUCAAACCAAGCAGGACAUCUUCAGCGUCUACAUCAGUGACGGGCUCAGCCAGACGGAAGCUUUCAGUGUGGAAAUUGACAUCCAGCAGAGUAAAGAGGACAAAGAGCCGGUGGUGUCCGUCAGCAGCAUCCAUAUAGAGGAAAACUCUGGAGUUGUCAUCACCAACUCGUCCCUCAGCGUCCACGAUCAGGACACACCAGAGAACGAGAUCCUCUUCACUAUUAUCAGAAUUCCCAGCUAUGGCAAGCUCCGCAGGCGGCAGUUCUACUCCCAGCCACUGGAGAACGGUCGCGUCCUAACGCAGGGCUCCACCUUCACCUAUCAGGAUGUGGUGGAUCAGCUGCUGGUUUACACGCCUGAAACUGUCAGCGGGGGAGCAGACGAGAUGGCCUUCACCCUCACCGAUGGCAUUCACACCCACACGGGCCGCCUGGAGUUCACGAUGGACGUCACGAGGAGCGAGGGACCUCGAAUGACCGUCAACAGAGGACUGCAGCUUCCAGCAGGGUCAUCAUCUAAGAUCACAGAGCAGAAUCUGAAAGGUACUGACAUCGACUCAGACCACCUGAAGCUCCGGUACAUCUUGACCAAAGACCCCCCGGUCGGCAAGCUGCAGCUCAACAGGAGCAGCCGAGUGGAGCGAGUUUCUGUGAAAGGUCCCGUUCAGAGCUUCACUCAGGAGGACGUCAACAAAGGCUUGCUGCACUACAGCCACGAGAAGGGGGAGAAAGGAGGCAGCCUGUCGUUCAAGUUCAACCUGGUCGAUCCGGAGGGCAACAAACUGAUCGACCAGUCCUUCUUCAUCAGUGUGCUUGAGGACCAUCUCCCUCCAUCUGUAGUGGUAAACAAAGGCCUGGUGCUUGAUGAAAACUCAGUGAAGAAGCUGACCACGCUGCAGCUGUCAGCCAGCGACCAGGACAGCGAGCCGGGCGAGCUCAUCUACCGUGUCACCAAACAGACGAGCCUGGGGCACCUCGAGCAUGCUGCCAGUCCAGGCACCAGGAUCAGCACCUUCACGCAGGCUGACCUGGCAUCACGCAGCAUCCAGUACGUCCACACCAGUGAAGAAGAGAAACAUGCUGACCAGUUCUCCUUCACCGUGUCCGACGGGACAAAUGAGGUUGCCCAGACUUUCUACAUCACCAUCAAGCCUGUGGACGACUCCCUGCCUCUUCUUCAGGUCCCUGGCAUGAGGGUGCAGGAGGGUGUGAGAAAGACCAUCACUGAGUUUGAGCUGAAAGCCACCGAUGCGGACACAGAGGCGGAGUCUAUCGUCUUCAGCGUCGUCCAGGCUCCUCGACACGGCACCAUCGAGCGCACCAUCAACGGCCAACACUACCGACAGACCAGCAGCUUCACCAUGGACGACAUCUACCAGAACCGCAUCAGCUACAACCACGACGGCUCCAACUCGCUCAAAGACCGCUUCACCUUUACCGUGACCGACAGCACCAACUUGCUCUUCAUGGUGGAGGAUGACGGCAAAGAGAUAGUGACAGCCGCUCCCCAGAAGUUCAAGAUAGAUAUCCUGCCAGUUGAUGAUGGAACGCCGUUAAUUUUCACCAACCUGGGACUGCAGUGGCUGGAGUACAUGGAUAACAAGGCCACCAAUCUGAUCACCAAGAAGGAGCUGCUGACCAUGGACCCAGACACAGAUGAUGGACAGCUGGUUUAUGAAAUCACCACAGAGCCAAAGCACGGCUUCCUGGAGAGCAAGCUGAAACCUGGGAACCCCAUUACCGCAUUCACACAAGCCGAUAUCAAUCUGGGUCUGAUCCGGUACGUGCUUCAUCAGGAGAACGUCCAGGAAACCAUGGACAACUUCAAGUUCCUGGUCAAAGACAGCAAGCCAAAUGUGGUCAGUGACAAUGUCUUCCACAUCCAGUGGUCCCUCAUCAGCUUUGAGCACAAAAGCUACAAUGUGAGUGAGAAGGCCGGCACAGUGGCGGUGACCGUGAAGCGAACCGGUAAUCUCAACCAGUACGCCAUCGUGCUCUGCCGCACUGAACAGGGCAGCGCCACCUCCACGAGCAGCGUCGGAUCCCGACCCGGACAGCAGGACUAUGUGGAAUACGCUGGGCAGGUGCAGUUUGAUGAGCGUGAGGACACAAAGGUGUGCACUAUAGUCAUUAACGACGACAAGGUGUUUGAGGGGAUCGAGAGCUUCCAUGUGGAGCUCAGCAUGCCCGUGUAUGCGCUGCUGGGUGGAAACACGCGCGCUGUCGUCAACAUCAACGACACAGAAGACGAACCCACUUUGCAGUUUGACAAGAAGAUUUACCACGUCAAUGAAAGCUCAGGCUUAAUCCAGGCUCCCAUUGAAAGGAAAGGUGAUACCUCCAGCACAGUCUCUGCUCUCUGCUACACCGUAGCCAAGUUAGCGCAGGGCAGCAGCCUCCACGCUCUGGAGUCCGGCUCUGACUACAAGAGCCGCGGCAUGACCACCGACAACCGAGUGAUCUUCGGUCCUGGAGUCAGCAUGUCCACCUGUGAUGUUAAGCUCAUCGAUGACAGCGAGUACGAACUGUCCGAGGAGUUCGAGCUGGUGCUCUCAGACGCCUCCGAUAAUGCACGCAUGGGCGACGUGUCGGUGGCCAAGGUCAUUAUCGACGGACCCAACGAUGCAUCGACUGUUUCUCUUGGAAACGCCACGUUUACCUUCAGUGAAGAUGCUGGCACAAUUGAAAUACCAGUGCUGCGUCAUGGCAGCGACCUGUCCUCGCUGACCUCUGUGUGGUGCGCAACCCGACCUUCAGACCCUCCGUCAGCCAGCCCCGGGGUCGACUACAUUCCCAGCUCCAAGAAAGUGGAAUUCAAACCUGGAAAAACUGACGAGACAUGCAGUUUAACCAUCAUGGAUGACAUCCAGAACCCGUCCAUCGAGGGGUCUGAGUCCUUCGUGGUGUUCCUCAGUUCUCCUCAGGGUGCUGUCCUUCAAGAGCCCUACGAAGCCAACGUCAUCAUCACGGACACGUUUCAGGACAUUCCUAACAUGCAGUUUGAGAAGAGCUCCUACACCGUGAAGGAGAAAGAUAACCUUCUCCACAUCCCCAUCAUCCGGACCGGCGACCUCUCCUUCAAGUCAUCUGUGCGCUGUUUCACCCGGACCAUGUCCGCCAUGGUGAUGGACGACUUUGAGGAGAGAAGGAAUGCAGAUGAGUCGCGCAUCACUUUCCUCAAAGGAGAGAAGGUGAAGAACUGCACAGUUCACAUCACUGACGACUCAGUGUUCGAGCCUGAGGAGGAGUUUCAGGUGCAUCUCGGUACACCGCUCAGUGACCACUGGAGCGGCGCCAUGGUGGGAGCUAACGAUAUUGUCACUGUAACCAUCACCAACGAUGAAGAUGCUCCCACCAUUGAGUUCGAGCAGGCGUCCUAUCAGGUGAGAGAGCCUCCCGGUCCAGAUGGCAUCGAAGUGCUCAACAUCAAAGUGAUCCGCAGAGGAGAUCUGGACCGAACGUCCAAGAUCCGUUGCAGCACCCGGGAUGGAUCGGCCCAAUCUGGAGUCGACUACAAUCCCAAGAGUCGAGUGCUUAAGUUCACCCCGGGCAUGGACCACAUCCUCUUUAAAGUGGAGAUUUUGUCCAAUGAGGACAGAGAGUGGCACGAGUCCUUCUCAUUGGUCCUUGGGCCUGAUGACCCGGUGGAGGCAGUGCUUGGGGAGAUCACAAUGGCCACAGUGACCAUUCUGGAUCAGGAGGCGGCAGGAAGUCUCAUCCUACCUGCCCCACCUAUUGUGGUCUCUCUCGCUGACUACGAUCAUGUCCAGGAGGUGAUCAAAGAGGGCAGCAAGAAGACUCCCUCUCCAGGUUACCCUCUGGUGUGUGUCACCCCCUGUGACCCUCACUACCCCAAGUACUCUGUGAUGAAGGAGCGCUGUGAGGAGGCGGGAAUCAACCAGACCCAAGUUCACUUCUCGUGGGAAGUGGCGGCUCCCACUGACACCAGUGGCGCCCGAUCCCCCUUUGAGACGGUCACCGAUACAACCCCAUAUACUAGCGUCAACCAUAUGGUUCUGGACAGCAUUUAUUUCAGCCGACGCUUCCACGUUCGCUGCGUGGCUCAGGCCAGAGACAAAGCUGGACACCUGGGAACACCGCUGAGGAGCAACAUCGCCACCAUCGGCACAGAGGGCUCCAUCUGCCACACACCUGUCACCACGGGAACCGCCAGAGGCUUCCAGGCUCAGUCCUUCAUCGCCACACUCAAAUACUUAGACGUCAAGCACAAAGAGCACCCCAACCGGAUCCACAUCUCAGUCCAGAUCCCCCAUCAGGAUGGAAUGCUCCCCCUGGUUUCCACCAUGCCGCUGCACAACCUUCACUUCCUGCUGUCAGAGUCGAUCUACAGGCAGCAGCACGUCUGCUCCAAUCUGGUCACCCUCAAAGACCUUCAGGGGAUCGCCGAGUCAGGCUUCCUCGAUGAUGUAUCGUAUGACAGCAUCUCUCUGGGGCCAGGCUACGACCGCCCCUACCAGUUCAACCCCAACGUCCGCGAGGGCAAGAGCCUCCAGCUCUAUAAGCACCUCAACCUCAAGAGCUGCAUCUGGACCUUCGACGCCUACUACGACAUGACAGAACUCAUCGACGUGUGCGGGGGCUCAGUCACCGCGGAUUUCCAGGUUCGGGACUCUGCUCAGUCCUUCCUGACGGUGCAGGUUCCUCUCUAUGUCUCCUACAUCUACGUCACAGCACCGAGAGGCUGGGCCUCUCUGGAGCACCACACUGAGAUGGAGUUCUCUUUCUUCUAUGACACCGUGCUCUGGAGGACAGGUAUCCAGACUGACAGCGUCCUCUCAGCCAGACUGCAGAUCAUCAGGAUCUAUAUCAGGGAAGACGGUCGGCUGGUAAUUGAGUUUAAAACGCACGCCAAAUUCAGAGGUCAGUUUGUGCUUGAGCACCACACCCUGCCGGGCCACAAGUCCCGCCUCAUGGCCCCCGACCACCUCGGAGGCAUCGAGUUUGACAUCCAGCUGCUGUGGAGCGCUCAAACCUUUGACUCACCGUACCAGCUGUGGAGGGCUACCAGCUCCUACAGCAGGAAGGACUAUUCUGGAGAGUACACCGUCUUCUUGGUCCCCUGCACUGUUCAGCCAACUCAGCCGUGGAUUGAUCCCGGUGACAAACAGCUGUCCUGCACAGCUCACGCUCCAGAGAAGUUUCUGGUGCCGAUUGCCUUCCAACAAACCAACAGGCCUGUUCCUGUGGUUUACUCGCUCAACACGGAGUUCCAGCUGUGCAACAAUGAGAAGGUGUUCAUGAUGGACCCGGCUACUGCUGAUGUGUCCAUGGCUGAGAUGGAUUACAAGGGAGCGUUCUCCAUGGGUCAGACUCUGUACGGCAGGGUUUUGUGGAACCCUGAGCAGAACCUGAACGCAGCCUACAAACUGCAGCUGGAGAAGGUUUACCUGUGCACUGGCAGGGACGGAUACGUUCCCUUCUUCGACCCCACGGGGACUCUGUACAACGAGGGGCCGCAGUACGGCUGCAUUCAACCCAACAAACACCUCAAACAUCGCUUCCUGCUGCUGGAUCGUAAACAGCCCGAUGUCUGUGACAAAUUUUUCCACGACGUUCCUUUCGAGGCUCACUUUGCCUCAGACAUCCCGGAGCUGCAGUCCAUGACGGCCAUGCCAGGUGUUGACGGCUUCACGAUGAAGGUUGAUGCGCUCUACAAGGUGGAGGCGGGGCACCAGUGGUACCUGCAGGUAAUUUAUGUGAUUGGCCCCGAGUCGCGGUCCAACCCCAGGAUUCAGCGCUCUGUGACCUAUCAGCUCAGCCGUUCUAAACGCGACCUGGUGGAUCGCAGCGGCCGGCUGACGCUUGACGAGUCGCUCAUCUACGACAACGAGGGAGAUCAAAUAAAGAACGGCGUGGCCGCCAUCACCCUGCUGGUCCUGGUCCUGCUGGCCUCUUGCUUCCUGUUCCGCCGCUGCCGACGGUUGGCCAAGAAGAAGAGCAAGAAGAAGGAACCAAAAAUCUAUGAGGAGUAUCCGCUCAACACCAAAGUGGAGGUGUGCAUGGACAAGUGUGUGGAGAAGAACUUCGGCACCAAGCACUGCACGGUGAGAAACAUCAACGUCCUGAACCGCAACCAGGAGGCCAACAGCAAGGCCAAGGUCAAACAGGUCAACCUGGAGGUCAAACUCCACAACAACCUCAACGACGGCACUGAGGUCUGA